GACGAACGCUGGCGGCGUGCUUAACACAUGCAAGUCGAACGGAAAGGCCCUGCUUUUGUGGGGUGCUCGAGUGGCGAACGGGUGAGUAACACGUGAGUAACCUGCCCUUGACUUUGGGAUAACUUCAGGAAACUGGGGCUAAUACCGGAUAGGAUCUCCUGCUGCAUGGUGGGGGUUGGAAAGUUUCGGCGGUUGGGGAUGGUCUCGCGGCUUAUCAGCUUGUUGGUGGGGUAGUGGCUUACCAAGGCUUUGACGGGUAGCCGGCCUGAGAGGGUGACCGGCCACAUUGGGACUGAGGUACGGCCCAGACUCCUACGGGAGGCAGCAGUGGGGAAUAUUUCACAAUGGGCGGGAGCCUGAUGCAGCAACGCCGCGUGCGGGAUGACGGCCUUCGGGUUAUAAACCGCUUUCGCCGGUGACGAGGCGUUAGUGACGGUAAUGGGUAAAGAAGCACCGGCUAACUACGUG
This 468-nucleotide ribosomal RNA is filed under the name uncultured bacterium. RNAcentral's name for it is "partial 16S ribosomal RNA". It matches the Rfam family "Bacterial small subunit ribosomal RNA", at positions 28 to 507 of the family's 1533-position model. The record is from RNAcentral.